GGGCGUUAAGUUGCAGGGUAUAGACCCGAAACCCGGUGAUCUAGCCAUGGGCAGGUUGAAGGUUGGGUAACACUAACUGGAGGACCGAACCGACUAAUGUUGAAAAAUUAGCGGAUGACCUGUGGCUGGGGGUGAAAGGCCAAUCAAACCGGGAGAUAGCUGGUUCUCCCCGAAAGCUAUUUAGGUAGCGCCUCGUGAAUUCAUCUCCGGGGGUAGAGCACUGUUUCGGCUAGGGGGCCAUCCCGGCUUACCAACCCGAUGCAAACUGCGAAUACCGGAGAAUGUUAUCACGGGAGACACACGGCGGGUGCUAACGUCCGUCGUGAAGAGGGAAACAACCCAGACCGCCAGCUAAGGUCCCAAAGUCAUGGUUAAGUGGGAAACGAUGUGGGAAGGCCCAGACAGCCAGGAUGUUGGCUUAGAAGCAGCCAUCAUUUAAAGAAAGCGUAAUAGCUCACUGGUCGAGUCGGCCUGCGCGGAAGAUGUAACGGGGCUAAACCAUGCACCGAAGCUGCGGCAGCGACACUCAGGUGUUGUUGGGUAGGGGAGCGUUCUGUAAGCCUGCGAAGGUGGCCUGUGAGGGUUGCUGGAGGUAUCAGAAGUGCGAAUGCUGACAUAAGUAACGAUAAAGCGGGUGAAAAGCCCGCUCGCCGGAAGACCAAGGGUUCCUGUCCAACGUUAAUCGGGGCAGGGUGAGUCGACCCCUAAGGCGAGGCCGAAAGGCGUAGUCGAUGGGAAACGGGUUAAUAUUCCCGUACUUGGUGUUACUGCGAAGGGGGGACGGAGAAGGCUAUGUUGGCCGGGCGACGGUUGUCCCGGUUUAAGCGUGUAGGUGUGUGUUCCAGGUAAAUCCGGUUCACUUUAACACUGAGGCGUGACGACGAGGCACUACGGUGCUGAAGCAACAAAUGCCCUGCUUCCAGGAAAAGCCUCUAAGCAUCAGGUAACAUCAAAUCGUACCCCAAACCGACACAGGUGGUCAGGUAGAGAAUACCAAGGCGCUUGAGAGAACUCGGGUGAAGGAACUAGGCAAAAUGGUGCCGUAACUUCGGGAGAAGGCACGCUGACAUGUAGGUGAAGUGAUUUACUCAUGGAGCUGAAGUCAGUCGAAGAUACCAGCUGGCUGCAACUGUUUAUUAAAAACACAGCACUGUGCAAACACGAAAGUGGACGUAUACGGUGUGACGCCUGCCCGGUGCCGGAAGGUUAAUUGAUGGGGUCAGCGCAAGCGAAGCUCCUGAUCGAAGCCCCGGUAAACGGCGGCCGUAACUAUAACGGUCCUAAGGUAGCGAAAUUCCUUGUCGGGUAAGUUCCGACCUGCACGAAUGGCGUAAUGAUGGCCAGGCUGUCUCCACCCGAGACUCAGUGAAAUUGAACUCGCUGUGAAGAUGCAGUGUACCCGCGGCAAGACGGAAAGACCCCGUGAACCUUUACUAUAGCUUGACACUGAACAUUGAGCCUUGAUGUGUAGGAUAGGUGGGAGGCUUUGAAGUGUGGACGCCAGUCUGCAUGGAGCCGGCCUUGAAAUACCACCCUUUAAUGUUUGAUGUUCUAACGUGGACCCGUGAUCCGGGUUGCGGACAGUGUCUGGUGGGUAGUUUGACUGGGGCGGUCUCCUCCUAAAGAGUAACGGAGGAGCACGAAGGUUGGCUAAUCCUGGUCGGACAUCAGGAGGUUAGUGCAAUGGCAUAAGCCAGCUUGACUGCGAGCGUGACGGCGCGAGCAGGUGCGAAAGCAGGUCAUAGUGAUCCGGUGGUUCUGAAUGGAAGGGCCAUCGCUCAACGGAUAAAAGGUACUCCGGGGAUAACAGGCUGAUACCGCCCAAGAGUUCAUAUCGACGGCGGUGUUUGGCACCUCGAUGUCGGCUCAUCACAUCCUGGGGCUGAAGUAGGUCCCAAGGGUAUGGCUGUUCGCCAUUUAAAGUGGUACGCGAGCUGGGUUUAGAACGUCGUGAGACAGUUCGGUCCCUAUCUGCCGUGGGCGCUGGAGAACUGAGGGGGGCUGCUCCUAGUACGAGAGGACCGGAGUGGACGCAUCACUGGUGUUCGGGUUGUCAUGCCAAUGGCACUGCCCGGUAGCUAAAUGCGGAAGAGAUAAGUGCUGAAAGCAUCUAAGCACGAAACUUGCCCCGAGAUGAGUUCUCCCUGAGACUUUAGGUCUCCUGAAGGAACGUUGAAGACGACGACGUUGAUAGGCCGGGUGUGUAAGCGCAGCGAUGCGUUGAGCUAACCGGUACUAAUGAACCGUGAGGCUUAACCUUACAACGCCGAAG
This 2272-nucleotide ribosomal RNA is filed under the name Salmonella enterica subsp. enterica. RNAcentral's name for it is "bacterial LSU rRNA". It matches the Rfam family "Bacterial large subunit ribosomal RNA", at positions 690 to 2925 of the family's 2925-position model. Lineage: Bacteria; Pseudomonadati; Pseudomonadota; Gammaproteobacteria; Enterobacterales; Enterobacteriaceae. The record is from RNAcentral.